AAUUGUUAUACAACAUAAAUUAAGAUUAGUCAUUUAACAAGCAAAGUAUUAAAGAGUGAAUAAGAUAAGAAAUAUAAAACAUGUUAGUAUCAAACAUUAAAGUCCAUAUUAAGUUUACACUAUACUUAUUUUUACACCAUUAGUGUAACCUUUUCACCUUGACAUAAUAAACUUAGCUAUACAUAAUGAAAGAAAGAAAAAUAAAUAAACAAAAUACGAACAUAAAUAAGAUAAAAGUUAAGUAAGAAAAUUUAAGGAAAUGAAAGGCAUAAACUUGAUAUUAAUGAAAGCAAAGCAUAAACAUUACAAAAAAUACAAAGAGAGAAAGGAAGAGCAUGAUCUUGAUCUGAACACCAAGAUGCCUAAAUGCAUGGCAAAUGCCUCCUUUUAUAGGCCCAUGAUCUUGAUUUGGAAACCAAGAUGCCUAAAUGCAUGGGAAAUGUCUCCUUUUAUAGGCCAAAAUUGAGAACUAUUGAUUUGAUGACUAAUUGAUGAGUGGGUGACCAACUCUUGACUUGGUGACAAUCCUUAUCUUCUCUUGUUUGCCCAAAAUAUCAUUGAUAACAUCAAAAUUAGAGCCCUUGAAAACAUGAAAGUUGUAGGAAAUUGUCUCAGCUUUCUUGUGUAAAACAUUCAGCUCAUUUGGAAUUCUAGAACUAUAGAUAUGGGCCAAAACUCGGGGCAAGAGCCCGGACAUCGAGGCAAGCGCCAAGCCCUGAUGAGUAGGAGGGCGCGGCCGUCACAUAUGGGCCAAAACUCGGGGCAAGAGCCCGGACAUCGAGGCAAGCGCCAAGCCCUGAUGAGUAGGAGGGUGCGGCCGUCACCGCAAAACCCGGGGCGCGAGCCCAAACGGAGCAGCCGUCGGUGCAGAUCUUGGUGGUAGUAACAAAUAUUCAAAUGAGAACUUUGAAGGUCGAAGAGGUGAAAGGUUCCAUAUGAACGGCUCUUGCACAUGGGUUAGUCAAUCCUAAAAGACAGGGGAAGCCCGUCAGACAGUGCGUUCGCGCGUGAGCUUCGUAAGGGAAUCGGGUUAAAAUUCCUGAACCGGGACGUGGCGGCUGACAACAAUGUUAGGGAGUCCAGAAAUGUCAGCGGGGGUCUCAGGAAGAGUUAUCUUUUCUAUUUAACAGCCCGCCCACACCGCGUGGUGUCCGGUGGGCCCCCGGCGGCCCUUGAAAAUCUAGAGGACCGAGUGCCUCCCACGCUUGGUGGUACUCAUAACCACAUCAUGUCUCCAAGGUGAACAACCUCUGGUCAAUGGAACAAUGUAGGCAAGGGAAGUCUGCAAAAUGGAUCUGUAACCUCGGGAAAAGGAUUGGCUCUGAAUGCUAGGCUCGGGGGUCCCAGUCCCGAACCCGUCGACUAUCGGUGGACUGCUCGAGCUGCUCAAGCGGCGAGAGCGUGUCGUCGCAUUCCGGCAAGGGGACGGACUAGGAACGGCCCCUCCAGGGGCCUUCCCCGGGCUUCGAACAGUCGACUCAAAACUGGUCGGACAAAGGGAAUUUGACUGUUUAAUUAAAACAAAGCAUUGCGAUGGUCCCUGUGGAUGCUCAGGCAAUGUGAUUUCUGCCCAGUGCUUUGAAUGUCAAAGUGAAGAAAUUCAAUCAAGUGCGGGUAAACGGCAGGAGUAAUUAUGACUCUCUUAAAGUAGCCAAAUGCCUCGUUAUCUAAUUAGUGACACGCAUGAAUGGAUUAACUAGAUUCCCACUAUCCUUGUCUACUAUCCAGCGAAACCACAGCCAAAGAAACGGGUUUGGCGGAAUCAGCGG
This 1769-nucleotide ribosomal RNA is filed under the name Populus euphratica (Euphrates poplar). RNAcentral's name for it is "eukaryotic LSU rRNA". The stretch from base 212 to 1769 matches the Rfam family "Eukaryotic large subunit ribosomal RNA", at positions 1 to 2400 of the family's 3401-position model. The record is from RNAcentral. Lineage: Eukaryota; Viridiplantae; Streptophyta; Magnoliopsida; Malpighiales; Salicaceae.